RNAcentral lists this ribosomal RNA (373 nucleotides) under uncultured organism. RNAcentral's name for it is "partial 16S ribosomal RNA". It matches the Rfam family "Bacterial small subunit ribosomal RNA", at positions 527 to 896 of the family's 1533-position model. The record is from RNAcentral.
GUAGGUGGCAAGCGUUGUCCGGAAUUAUUGGGCGUAAAGCGCGCGCAGGCGGUCCUUUAAGUCUGAUGUGAAAGCCCACGGCUCAACCGUGGAGGGUCAUUGGAAACUGGGGGACUUGAGUACAGAAGAGGAAAGCGGAAUUCCAAGUGUAGCGGUGAAAUGCGUAGAGAUUUGGAGGAACACCAGAGGCGAAGGCGGCUUUCUGGUCUGUAACUGACGCUGAGGCGCGAAAGCGUGGGGAGCAAACAGGAUUAGAUACCCUGGUAGUCCACGCCGUAAACGAUGAGUGCUAAGUGUUAGGGGUUUCCCGCCCCCCUUAGUGCUGCAGCUAACGCAUUAAGCACUCCGCCUGGGGAGUACGGCCGCAAGGCUG